Molecule: long non-coding RNA, 1190 nt
Filed under: Elaeis guineensis (African oil palm)
Lineage: Eukaryota; Viridiplantae; Streptophyta; Magnoliopsida; Arecales; Arecaceae
Description: long non-coding RNA (EGUI_LNC081387)
Source: RNAcentral
UUUAAUUAAAUAGAUACGAUUAAUCUUUAGAAAAAUACCUAUCUUUCCUCGGCACACUCCGUACCCGUAGAUCACGGCGUGUCUCCAGAAAUUACUAGGUAAACAACUCUUCUUUCCUCGGCACGCCCCGUACCCGUAGAUCACGGUGUAUCUUCGAAAAGUAAAAGUUGUUCCUAAUAUUAAUCUAACAGGAAAGCAUAAAUAAAAGCAGAUGAAAGAUAGCAAAUAAAGAACUCAUGACGAUUUAAAUAAAAAGCAUAAUCUUUAUUGCAUAUAAAGAAAUACAAGAAAGUUUAGAACAAUAAACCAUUUCUGUGUCGUUACAAAAUUUCUUCUCCACUCCCGAAACUGCUAGCCUAGCUGCUCAUGAAGUAGUCCCUUUCUAUUCCUCUAUGCAAGGCUCUAGAAGAAUUUCUGGGCUCCCCUUCCAAUGGAAGUACAAAAGCCUUUUUAUAGGUGUUAGGAGGGAGGAGUUUUAUAUGGUUUCCGAUGUGGGACUAAAAAAAAUGCUAAGGACUAAAAGAUCACAAACAGAUAAAGAAAAUACAAAUCUUUCCUCUUAAAAUAUUUUCAAAUAUUAAUUUUUUUUCUUUAAUGAGCAUCUGUUCGUCUGUUCGCGUCUGCCUGCCGUGCGCCCGCACCUGCACCCCCGCGACGCCGCGUCUGCACACGCCCGCGUUGCGCCUGCAUGAGCCUUCUGCGCCUCACGCAUGCGUUAACGCUUCAAAAAGAAACUUUUUUAUUCCAAAAAAAAAUUUUAUUUCUUUACAAUUACAUCUAUAUCCUUUUGGAUUCAUUGCAUAGUAUCUUCAUUUUCUAUAAUACCGUAUGCAUCCUUCUUUUAUUUUAAUUUUAUUUUAAGUCUAAUUUUCUUCAAACUUGAGUCUUUUUGAUCUAUGAAUCGGACUCUUUGUAUCGGCGAUCAUCUUUCCUGUAAAACAUAAAAAGAAGCAUCAAAUUCUUAAUAAAUAAAAUAAAUUAAAUAUGAUUUUCUGCUUUAAAUGACUUAAAUUAAGUGUUUAUCACACCCUCCAACUUGGAUUUUGCUCGUCCUCGAGUAAAAUAGAUAUAUCAGUAUUGUGUACCGACUCGGUCUUGAAUCAAAAGUUAGGUUAGGCAUCCCAAAAGGUAGAUGAUACCUGAUCAGACCAUUAAAGAGAUACUUCAUUGGAUUAUUAAUUUGACCCAAU